RNAcentral lists this long non-coding RNA (39719 nucleotides) under Triticum aestivum (bread wheat). Its description in RNAcentral is "long non-coding RNA (TAES_LNC015439)". Lineage: Eukaryota; Viridiplantae; Streptophyta; Magnoliopsida; Poales; Poaceae. The record is from RNAcentral.
AAAAAGUCAUUUUGAAACAAUACAUGGUCAUAACAGCAGCAGGGAAGCGAGAUUUCUGCUACAGGAGCAAAUACAAAGCAGUAGUGAUCUGAUCAUUUGUGUUCAAACUUAGUUGGGUUCACAACAUAAACUUCAAAAAAAUCUACACAUCAUACACCACAGCACUCAAGCAACACACCCAGCGCUCACAAAAAUGCCAGCACGCACAGACACACACCAGUGCAUGAAUAAAUGCAUUCAGCACGCACCCUACGUCUUGCUCAGGGCGCACUCGGAGGGCGUUGGUGGACUGGCCGCGGAGGUCGUGAGGACGCAAGGCAGACGCGGCGGCGAACGGGAUGCGGAGCUCAGGGCAGAUGGUGGUCCUGACGGCGCUCCAUCCAAAAACGAGAUCGCACACCACAUAGCGCCUUGUAUCCAUUGACAAGAUGCUAAAAGCAAGUAGUGCAAGUGAUUAAGGACUCCGACGACCGCAAAGAGGUAGAAGUUCAGUUUUCAUGUAAACUUCAGAUUUAGAGGUGCUUAUCUUCCUCUGUGAGUGACCGUACUAGCCAAAUUUCAGAAAAGAAAAUAGUGGUGAGAAAGAAUGCUGAUGUUUGCUGCACCUGGAGACAUGCCGCGGGAGUGAGGCGCUGCGAAGGUGUUGAGGCACCUGGAGACAUGGGCAGGUCGUGGGGGUGCCAUGGGAAGGUCGCGGGGGCGCCAUAGCAAGGUCACGGGGGCGCCCUAGGGCAGGUCGCGGUGGCGGUUGACGGCAAACGGAGGCCACCUCCGUGGUGGAAGCAGGGGAGGAAGGCCGGCAACGAUCUGAGUCGGUGGCGCGCGGCGGCGAGGUGGUCCGGGAAGGAGGCCGGCGACAGUGGAAGAUUGAGGUUGGGGCGACGGCGCCGGUGCUAGUGGAUCCGGGAGUCAGCGGGGCCGGUGGAGCCGGGGCGCGGUGGUGCGCGUGGCCGGGGCCGGUGGCUGCACCGGCGGGUGGAUGUGGUGGCCACUACACCGAUUCGGCUUCCUGGCGGGGGCGACGGUGGCGGCGUGGGGGUUCCUGGUGGUGGGUGGCUGCGGCAUUGUAGGUGGCCGGGGCCAGGCGACGGCGUGGGAGGUGGCCGGGGCCCGGCGGCGGCGCGGGGCGGGGACGGAGGCNNNNNNNNNNNNNNNNNNNNNNNNNNNNNNNNNNNNNNNNNNNNNNNNNNNNNNNNNNNNNNNNNNNNNNNNNNNNNNNNNNNNNNNNNNNNNNNNNNNNNNNNNNNNNNNNNNNNNNNNNNNNNNNNNNNNNNNNNNNNNNNNNNNNNNNNNNNNNNNNNNNNNNNNNNNNNNNNNNNNNNNNNNNNNNNNNNNNNNNNNNNNNNNNNNNNNNNNNNNNNNNNNNNNNNNNNNNNNNNNNNNNNNNNNNNNNNNNNNNNNNNNNNNNNNNNNNNNNNNNNNNNNNNNNNNNNNNNNNNNNNNNNNNNNNNNNNNNNNNNNNNNNNNNNNNNNNNNNNNNNNNNNNNNNNNNNNNNNNNNNNNNNNNNNNNNNNNNNNNNNNNNNNNNNNNNNNNNNNNNNNNNNNNNNNNNNNNNNNNNNNNNNNNNNNNNNNNNNNNNNNNNNNNNNNNNNNNNNNNNNNNNNNNNNNNNNNNNNNNNNNNNNNNNNNNNNNNNNNNNNNNNNNNNNNNNNNNNNNNNNNNNNNNNNNNNNNNNNNNNNNNNNNNNNNNNNNNNNNNNNNNNNNNNNNNNNNNNNNNNNNNUUGCUUACCUUAGUUUUCCUCGAGCUACCUCUUGGCAAGACCGAGCUCUUUCUUGGACCACUCGAGGUUCGGCUUUAGUGCGGCGACCUCCGCAGUCAAUGCGGCAGAGGUCAGCAGUGAAGCCUGCAUAUGCAUACAGACAUACUUAUAUUAUACUCCUGUAGAUAUUAUUUGAUCCUCUAUUCGGCUUUUCUUUGUGAACACCAACCAGAGCAUUAGGGGCUACUGUCUAUGCGGUAAUAUUUUUCCCAUAUUUUAAAUACUUACCUCAAAGCCUGUUAGAAGGCUGGCACAGGCUUCAGUCAGUCCGCUCUUGGCGGACUGAACCUUCUUGAUCACCGCACUCAUAAUAGUGCGGUGCUCUUCGUCAACGGAAGCGCCACGAAGCGCUCCCAGCAGUUCGUCCGGUGCCUCUGGAUAGACAGAGGUCACCGGCACGGACGGCUUGCCCCUCUUGGAAGAGGGCCGCCUGCCCGAGUCCGGAACCACUGGAGGUUCCGGCGCGGUAUCCGGUUGAGGGCCGAACUUGGAGCCUUGCUCCUGGAGUCCGGAAGGUCGCCUUGAGGCGCCUCCGGGACUGUCUCCCCCGGGCUCAGUGCCCCUUGAGACAAUACCUCGGCAUUGUCCGUAGGGCAAGGAGAGGAGGCAGUUGGAAGUGUAUCACUAUUCAUGUCCGACGAGUCUAAGGAACCGUCUGACGAUGAUACGUCGAUACGGGCUUGGGGCGGACUGCAUAAUCAUAUUCAAUGUUAGGAUAAGCAGUGCAACAAAAGUAUGCUAUGAGUUACUCUGGUAUCCAAAUACUUACGACUUCGACAGGGGCUUGGCCCUGAGCAGCCACUCAUCUUCGCCUUCGGUGGCGGUGGUGGAACAGUCCGGAAGGAGAGUCCUUCCCUUCUUGGACCCUUCGGCUUCCCCGGUUGGGGCGGCCUUCCUCUUCUUGUCUCCCCCGGCUGGAGGGGGAGAAUCUUCAUCUUCCUCCUCCUCGUUUUCACGGGAGUAGUGCGCCUCGGAGUUAUCAGACGAUGAGUCCGAUACCACCUGGCGCCGGGAACUCUUUUGGGUUCCCUUGGCCUUCUUCUUGGUCUUCUCCGGCACCUCAUAAGGAGCCGGAGUCCGCAUCUUCGUCAGGAGAGCGUCUGCAGGGUCUUCGGGCAGGGGGGUCGGAUAGUUAAUCUGCUCCUAUGUCUCCACCCAGUCCUGUCAAAGGCAUGGGAGAUCAGACCCCGCACAUGGUUAAGCUAUGGGAAAUAAAUACCCUACUAGAUGUACAGAACUUACCGGAUUCGUAGGGUGCUUCACGCUUAGCCCGUGGUCCUCGGUAAGAGAAGGGGGACCUCGGCGCCCUUGAACAGCACCUUCCAGACAUCCUUAUGCGUCCUGUCGAAGAGCUUGCGUAGAGUCUGGUCCUGGGCCGGGUCGAACUCCCAUAAGUUGAAAUCCCGUUGCUAACACGGGAGGAUCCGGCGGAAGAGCAUGACCUGGACUAUGUUGACAAGCUUAAGUUUCUUGCUUAUCAUGUUCCGGAUACACUUCUGGAGUCCGUCCAGCUCCACCGAUGAACUGCAGGACAGGCCCUUCUCCUUCCAGGAAGUGAGCCGCGUGGGGAUUCCGGAUCAAAACUCGGGGGCCGCCACCUAGUUGGUGUCGCGCGGCUCGGUGAUGUAGAACCACCCUGAUCCACCCCUUUAUGGUCUCCAUGAAGGAGCCCUCGAGCCACGUAAUGUUGGGCAUUUUGCCCACCAUGGCUCCGCCGCAUUCCGCUUGUUGGCCGCCUACUACCUUCGGCUUGAUAUUGAAGGUCUUCAACCAUAGGCCGAAGUGGGGCCGGAUGCGGAGGAAAGCCUCGCACACGACGAUGAACGCUGACAUGUUGAGGAUGAAAUUCGGGGCCAGAUCAUGAAAGUCCAGCCCAUAAUAGAACAUGAGGCCGCGGAUGAAUGGAUGGAGGGGAAGCCCCAGUCCACUGACGAAGUUGGGGAGGAAAACCACCCUUUCAUGAGGUUCCGGGGUAGGGACGAUCUGCCUCGCGACUGGCAGCCGGUGCGCGAUAUCUGCAGCUAAGUAUCCGGCUCCUCAUAGCUUUUUGAUGUGUCCCUCCGUGACAGAGGAGGCCAUCCACUUGCCUCCCGCUCCGGACAUGUUUGGAGAGAGUAGAGGAGAAGUAUGUGGACUUGGGCGCUGGAGCUCGAGUGCGUGAGAAUGGGUGAGCAAGGAGGAAGAAGGCGUGGGUAGAAAAAGGUGAGACCUUAUCCCUUUAUAAGGGCGGACAAAACUAUGCGCCCCCACAAGCCUGGUAAAACUCGCUUAUCCCCCAAGCACCAUAAUUGAUGGCGCAGUUGGGUUGCCCACGUUUGUAUUGAUGACAAUCCUGUGAUAACGGGAACACUAUCUCUACUUUGACAAGACGUGUCAAGAAACCACCUCGCGUUAUGUGCGGGGCUGGUUAGAGAAAAAACGGUUCAAAUAAUUACCGGACCGUGGCGUGAUGUCAUGCUGCCGAAACGUGUCAGCUGAUUAGAUUUGUGGAAAUAUUAUUCUCUCUACGGUGGAACUUAUUUUGCAGGGUCGGACACUAUCCUUGUAUUCGAACUCUUCCGUGGUGUAUUCGGAGGAGGAAUCCGCCUUGCAAUGCCGAAGACAACACUGUGUGUCGGACUCAUCGUCAUUGAAGCCUGGUUCAGGGGCUAUUGAGGGAGUCCUGGAUUAGGGGGUCUCUGGAUAGCCAGACUAUAUCCUUUGGUCGGACUGUUGGACUAUGAAGAUACGAGAUUGAAGACUUUGUCCCGUGUCCGGAUGGGACUCUACUUGGCGUGGAAGGCAAGCUAGGCAAUACGGAUAUGGAUAUCUCCUCCUUUGUAACCGACCUUAUGUAACCCUAGCCUCCUCCGGUGUCUAUAUAAACCGGAGGACUUUAGUCCGUGGGACAACAUACAAUCAUACCAUAGGCUAGCUUCUAGGCUUUAGCCUCUCUGAUCUCGUGGUAGAUCAACUCUUGUACUACUCAUAUUAUCAAGAAUAAUCAAGCAAGACGUAGGGUUUUACCUCCAUCAAGAAGGCCUGAACCUGGGUAAAACAUCGUGUCCCCUGCCUCAUGUUACCAUCUGCCUUAGACGCAUAGUUCGGGACCCCCUACCGGAGAUCCCCCGAUUUUGACACCGACACCGACCUAGAUCAUCAGUUGGCUCAUCUGAUGCCUCUUCUUCAGCUUAUUCCCGCAUUGUCGGCUCAGCUUCUUCCUGCAUUGCCGGCUCAGCUUCUUCCCCCAUUGUCGUAUCAUCAUAUUCAGGGAAUCCAUGGCCAGGAUAGCUAUCAUCAUCCUCUUCUUUUUCAUUUUCUUCCAUCAUAACCUCUCUUUCUCCAUGCUUGGUCCAAACAUUAUAGUGGGGCAUGAAACCGGACUCAAACAGGUGGACGUGAAUGGUUCUUGAGUUAGAGUAAUUGUGAUCAUUCUUGAAGCCAGCACAUGGACACGGCAUAAAACCAUCCACCUGCUUGUUUGCCUGAGCCGCAAUCAGAAAAGUAUGCACGCCCUCAACGAACUGGGGAGAGCAUUGGUCAUCGUACAUCCAUUGCCGGCUCAUCUUCAUUACACAUCACCGAAUAGACCAAAUUAAUACAAGUUCAUACAUAAAGUUCAUACAACACUUAUUAUCAUAAAACAAACAUAUAAAUAACUCUCUAGCUAAAGCAUUUAAAUGCAACAACAAAUGUGAUCAAGAUUGCAAACUAAGGUAACAAUUGAUCCAACAACAUAAUGAUACCAAGCCUCACUAUCAAUGGCAUAUUUUCUAAUCUUUCUAAUCUUCAAGCGCAUUUUCUCCAUCUUGAUCGUGUGAUCAUCGACGACAUCGGCAACAUGCAACUCCAAUUCCAUCUUCUCCCCCUCAAUUAUUUUCAAAUUUUCUUUCAAACACUCGUUUUCCCUUUCAACUAAAUUUAACCUCUCGACAAUAGGGUCAGUUGGAAUUUCCGGUUCACAUACCUCCUAGAUAAAAAUAUCUAUGUGAACUUGAUGGGCAUAAUUUGUCAUAAAUAUGAAAUGCAACAAAUAGUUAUAAAGGAAAAUAUACCGCAUCUGAAUCAUAACCUGGACGAGGGCCGACGGGGACGAAUAUCAAAACCAUGGCACUAUGAAUAACAAACAACGUACGGGUAAGAUAAUUAUACAAGUAACUAUAUAUCUAAAUCACACAAACAUGAUUUUUUUUAUAAAAAAAGAUAAGAACAAGAGGCUCACCAUAAGAACGUGGUGCCGGUGACGGGACAGUGCGGACGAUCGACGGUGGUUAGGACGGAGACGGGAAGGCACUAAGUAAACCAAACCUACAUAUGCAAACUAAGAGUUAUUUUGAGCUCAAAUUGCAUAUAAAUAAAAUAAACUACCACAUAUAAUUCCUCCCAAAUUGCUAAAACCCACAAAUUAAUCACUGUAUAAAGCAUUGCAAGAGCUAAUCUAGCAAUGAGAGAUGAAAGGACAAAGUUGCUUACCUCUCUGAUCACUUGAAUGGAUGGGGGCCUUCAAAUCUUGACAAAUUUUGGGCAAAAUGUGUGAUGAGCUCGAGGAGGAGGGGAAGAACAGAGAGGAAAGGGGAAAGGGGGAAAACAGAGCGAGCUCGAUCAUGGUUGGACGAAGGGUUUAUAUAGGACGACCUUUACUACCAGUUCAUGGCACGAACCAGUACUAAAGGUGUUGGAGGGGCCCCAGUCUGACAACAUCCUGCCACCACUCUCUUUAGCACUGAUUCGUGACAUGAACCGAUGCUAAAGGUUCGCAAUGAACCGGUACUAAUGAGAGUGGCCCGCCCAUAUGUUUUCGAUAAAGUAUUCUCUCUCCCUUGCCGUGCUUUUUUACCCUCCCGAUUGUAGGUAAUGCGAGCUUCUUGUAGGAAAUAUGCCCAAGAGGCAAUGAUAAAAUAGUUAUCAUCAUAUUUCCCGUUCAUGAUAAAUUUUUAUUAUUCAUGCUAGAAUUGUAUUGACCGGAAACUUAAAUACAUGUGUGAAUACAUAAACUACACAGUUUCCCUAGUAAACCUCUACUAGACUAGCUCGUUGAUCAAAGAUGGUUAAGGUUUCCUAACCAUGGACAUGAGUUGUCAUUUGAUAAUGGGAUCACAUCAUUAGGAUAAUGAUGUGAUGGAAAGACCCAACCGUAAGCUUAGCAUCAGAUCGUUUAAGUUAUUUGCUAUAGCUUUCUUCAUGUCAAGUAUCUGUUCCUUCGACCUUGAGAUCAUGCCACUUCCGGAUACCGGAGGGAUGCCUUGUGUGCUAUCAAACGUCACAUCAUAACUUGGUGAUCAUAAAGGUGAUCUACAGGUAUAUCCGAUGGCGUCUGUUGCGUUUCAUGGAUCGAGACUGGGAUUUGUUGCUCCGUGUGACGGAGAGAUAUCUCUCGGCCCUCUCGAUAAUACAACAUCAUAAGAAGCUUCAGGUGACUAAUGAGUUUAGUCACGAGAUCUUGUAUUAUGGAAUGAGUUUAGUCGACUAUGGAGAUACCAACGAUCGAAUCUUGGAAAAGUAACAUAUCGCCUGGUAAAGGGAAUUGCAUACGGUAUUGACUGAAUCCUUGACAUUGUCUUCAUUGAAUAUGUAGGAAUUGGUACCUAUUGAGAAUGCGUUGGUUUUCCCUUGAAGAGGAAAGGGUGAUGCGGCAAAGUAGCUUAAGUAUUUCCCUCGGUUUUUGAGAACCAAGGUAUCAAUCCAGUAGGAGACUACACGCAAGUCCCUCGUACCUGCACAAACAAUCAAGAACCUUGCAAUCAACGCGAUAAAGGGGUUGUCAGUCCCUUCACGGCCACUUGCAAAAGUGAGAUAUGAUAAAGAUAAUAAGAUAAAUAUUUUUGGUACUUUUGUUGUAUAGAUUGAAAAGUAAAGAUUGCAAAAUAAAUUGCGAUAGAAAUAGCUAGUUGACAGGAAAAUAAUAUAAUGGAGAAUAGACCCGGGGGCCAUAGGUUUCACUAGUGGCUUCUCUCAAGAUAGCAUAAUCUACGGUGGGUGAACAAAUUACUGUCGAGCAAUUGAUAGAAAAGUGAAUAGUUAUGAGAAUAUCUAGGCAUGAUCAUGUAUAUAGGCAUCACGUCCGUGACAAGUAGACCGAAACGAUUCUGCAUUUACUACUAUUACUCCACACAUCGACCGCUAUCCAGCAUGCAUCUAGAGUAUUAAGUUCAUAAGAACAGAGUAACACAUUAGGGAAGAUGACAUGAUGUAAAGGGAUAAACUCAAGCAAUAUGAUAUAAACCCCAUCUCUUUAUCCUCGAUGGCAACAAUACAAUACAUGCCUUGCUGCCCCUGCUGUCACUGGGAAAGGACACCGCAAGAUUGAACCCAAAGCUAAACACUUCUUCCAUUGCAAGAACGAUCAAUCUAGUAGGCCAAACCAAACUGAUAAUUCGAAGAGACUUGCAAAGAUAUUUAAAUCAUGCAUAUAAGAAUUCAGAGAAGAACCAAAUAUUGUUCAUAGAUAAUCUUGGUCAUAAAUCCACAAUUCAUCGAAUCUCGACAAACACACCGCAAAAAGAAUGACAUCCAAUAGAUCUCCAAGAGAAUCGAGGAGAACUUUGUAUUGAGAUCCAAAGAGAGAGAAGAAGCCAUCUAGCUAAUAACUAUGGACCCGAAGGUCUGUGGGAAACUACUCACACAUCAUCGGAGAGGCUAUGGUGUUGAUGUAGAAGCCCUCCGUGAUCGAAUCCCCCUCCGGCGGAGCGCCGGAAAAGGCCCCAAGAUGGGAUCUCACGGGUACAAAAGGUUGCGGCGGUGGAAAUAGGGUUUUGUGGUGCUCCUGGAUGUUUUAAGGGUAUAUGGGUAUAUAUAGGCGAAGGAAGUAGGUCGGUGGAGCUAUGAGGGGCCCACCAGGGUGGGGGAGCGCCUGGCCCCCCUAGGCGCGCCGCCCUACCUCAUGGCCGCCUGGUUGCUUCCUCGACCUCCACUCCAAGUCUCCUGGAUUGCGUUUGUUCCAAAAAAGAUCCUCGCGAAGGUUUCAUUCCGUUUGAUAUUCCUUUUCUGCGAAACACUAAAAUAGGCAAAAACAGCAACUAGCAUUGGGCCUCUGGCUAAUAGGUUAGUCCCAAAAAUAAUAUAAAAGUGCAUAUUAAAGCCCAUUAAACAUUCAAAACAGAUAAUAUAAUAGCAUGGAACAAUCAAAAAUUAUAGAUACGUUGGGGACGUAUCAGCAUCCCCAAGCUUAAUUCAUGCUCGUCCUCGAGUAGGUAAAUGAGAAAAAACAGAAUUUUUGAUGUGGAAUGCUACCUAACAUAAUUUUCAAUGUAAUUUUCUUUAUGGUGGCUUGAAUAUUCAGAUCCGAAAGAAUCAAGACAAAAGUUUAAUAUUGACAUAAAAUAAUAAUACUUCAAGCAUACUAACAAAGUAAUCAUGUCUUCUCAAAAUAACAUGGCCAAAGAAAGUUAUCCCUACAAAAUCAUAUAGUCUGGCUAUGCUCUAUCUUCAUCACACAAAAUAUUUAAAUCUUGCACAACCCUAAUGAUAAGCCAAGAAAUUGUUUCAAACUUUUGAUGUUCUCAAACUUUUUCAAUCUUCACGCAAUACAUGAGCGUGAGCCAUGGACCACUAGUGCAGAACCGGGCAAUAGCACCGGUUCGUAAGGCCCUUUAGUGCCGGUUUGGUAACCGGCGCUGAAGUGUAGGCACUAAAGCCCCCCCCCCUUUAGAACCGAUCAUAUAUAUCAUCGAAUAUCUCACAACCACCAUUAAUUAAUUCACACAUAUAUACACACAUGCAUAUAUAUAUAUAUAUAUAUAUAUAAUUUCUCCUAAUUGGUGCCUUCGGAGCCAGUGGCAUUAGCCUAAUUGGUGCCUUCGAAGUACGAUACAAUUGGAAGUGGUUCAUGGGGGUGGUAGCGGGUAAUAGUAUUCUCCUUUGGGAUCUAUGACCUGGUCGAGCAAAAAUCCCGCUAUUUCCUCUUGAAUUGCUUAUAUGCGCUCCGUUGGUAGGAGCUGCUCCGGCACCUCUUUGAACUGUUAAGAAGGGGAUCAAUAUGCAUGUGUAUUAGUUGUGUGACUAGAUAUCGAUAAUGGUGUAAAAAUUGUGAAUAGUGUUCUGAAAAACGUACCCACUCCUGUCUUUGAGAUUUGCUCCUUUCGGACGCCAUCAUGCGAAUGUUCUUGCAAACGUAGUAUGCACACAGAUUAUUCCCCAGUGCUUGCUUCAGGGCCUUUACGAGAAUGGAAUUUGAUCAGAUAAUAAUAAAUCAAGCAUGAUAAUUAAAGAUAUGGCAGCUAGCUAGUACUACUGAAUUACUUACCUGGGGUCGAUACCAUUUCAGAUCUUGUUUCCAUGGGCCUAGAGUGGCCCUGAUGAACUUUUCCCAAGCCCUGCCCGCCGACAAAGAAAAUGAAUAAAUAGGUUAUUAAAUAGUUGUUAUCAGGAAAUGAAGAACUAAUUAAAUAGGGCGAGAUAUAGUUAAUAAUGAUUGAAAUUACCUGUUGACUAUCCCCUUCACAAUGGUGUAGUCACUUGCUUUCUUAAGUAGUGAGUCUAGUACUUCAACUGUUCCUUCAUCAACUUUAAUGAUUAACAAGAUCUAGUGAAAUUUGCAUGCACACAUGUUUGCAUGUCUUAAUUAAGCGGGCAUAUGUAAGCAAAAACAUGUAGCUAGCUAGUAGGAAAAAACAGAAUUUGUAGUACAAGACAGUGUGACUCACUCGAAGUUGUAAGGAAGUAGUAUAUCUCCAUUGUAUUUGAGGCACUUGAAGAACUCUAGCAUGCUUUCCUCUAUAGUUUUUUCGUAAUAUGGAUCUAAUUUCCAUGUGUAUUCAUUAAUGGUAUUUGGGUCAACGAACCCAAUGCCAUAGCGUCCACCUUUUUUCAUUUCAUAAAUCUUCAUCCUGCAUAAUACCACAGAAAAGAAUAUAGUGAGGAUAAUUACAGGUAAUGAUUGAUCAAAAUGAUCACUACAGCUAGCUUGAGACUUAAAUUACAGAAAGAAAUCACUUACAGACAAUAGCAAUUAACGAUAGAUUUGUCGAGUGCGUCUUGAUUGUAUAACUAAAACAGUUCUGAAUACUCAACGGCCAGAGCUUUCUCAUGGUAGUAAUGCUCCUCCUUGACAUUCACCAUGAGGGACUCUCGAUUGGAAAUCUUGGUAAUGUCCAUGUACCAUCGAUGCAAUUCAUACAUUCUCAUUGGGAGGUUCUUGACCUCGUCUGGCUCGACCAAAGGUUGGCCUCGGACAUAUUUCCAUUUUAUUUCCUCCUCUCUAGUCAGAGACAUGGGCUCGAUAUCGAGGAGUUGUCCAACAGUGAUCCCGAUCGUUUCAGCCUGCGCAAUAUGCUCCUCGAUUAUUACCACAUUGCCCACCCCUGGAAUGUUAAUGGUUUGCCCACAAUAAUAUUGGGCGCGCCUACUCUCAUGUGUUGUUGGCACAACAAGCGGGGGGAUUGAUUGCGCCGCCUGUUCUCCCAGCUGGGGAACGGUUUUACCGCUCCUUUUGUCAGCUGAUUUGCUCGAGCUCGAGCUCGCCUCUUUCUGCAAACGUGCUCGAUUUAACUUCUUGAUGUGGCGCUCAUAGUCUGUGUCAACAGGCUUGGGAGCUGGUGCUCUAGCCAUACGAAUGAAGUGGUCAAUCUUUUCCACAGGCACUUUCUCCCUUGGCGGUGAUGGCGGUUUCGGUGCAAAAUGGGCUUCCACCUCGGCCUUCGAUAUGGCUACGUUUUCCUCCUCGGACUUGUCAUAAGGCCUCUGCGGAAGAGGCGCGAGGCUUGGACCAUAUUGAAAUCGCUUGCCUUCACCUGUACCUCCAGUACUACCUCGACUUGUACCGCUAUGCACCAAGCUGAGGCGGCUCUCUUCUGUGAUUGUUGAGGCGGCGAAGACGGCUGAUGUGGCUGAGUUGGAGGAGGAGGAGUGGCCUAAAGCUGUGCCGGACUUGGAGGAGGAGUGGCCUGACGCUUUGCCGGACUUGGAGGAGGAGGAGUGGCCUGAGCUGUGCCGGACUUGGAGGAGGAGUGGCCUGACGCGUUGGUGGACUUGGAGGAGCAGGAGUUUGCUGACUCGGUGGCGGACUUCGACGAGGAGUCGGAUGACGCGGUGUCGGUGGCCUUCGAAAGAUGAUGCAAUCCUUUCUCCAUAGGACGAUACGAUGGUUGGCCUCUCCCGGUGUGUGCUCAUCGUCACCUCCAGAAAUGUCAAGCUCUAGCCCCGAAUAUUGGUCCACCACCUCAUCAACCAAGACACGAGCAUAGCCCGCUAGAAUCGGGUUGCAAUGGAAGGUUGCCUCAGGGGGAUUUGUAAAAGCAAGGGCGUUCGCCACCUUCAUGGAUAUGUUCUUCAUUUUGAAGUGUAGCUCGCAGUUAGUGUUCUCCAUGAUGUCAUCCACUGGGUAGCUAUCCAGCAAUGUGUCGCCCGGGGUGGAACCCACGCUGCUUCUCGGCAUGGAUGGGACGGUGCUAUCCAAUGGUGGAUCAUCCGCUAGCUGCUGAGACCCCCUUUGCUGGCUAAGUGAGUCGAUCUGCUCCUGCUGCCGCUGGAAUUUGACUGCCAAGUCUGUGUGCGCUGAUUCUAGGCCUUGAAGGCAUUCAUAGUCUAGCUUCCUCUGCUCCUCCUCCAUCUUCCUCUUCUUCUCCUCCGCAAUCUUCUUUCUCGCACGGGUUCUGUAGUCGGUGUUCCAGUCCGAAAACACCUCAUACCAUGGCAUAGCGCCCAUGCCUCAUGUUCUUCCCAGGUGUUCAAGAUUUCCCAGGGCACGCGUAAGCUCAUCGUUCUCUCUGUUGGGCUCGAACACCCCCGAUCGAGCCUCUUCUAUUGCAACAAGUAGCUUAUCUUCGGCUCCGCCCAGACAUGCCUUCUUCGAAACUUUGCCUGUCUUCGGGUCCAACUCCCCCCCAUGCGCAUAGAACCAAGUCCUGCACCUGGGGGGCCAGCUCAAUGUUUCUGGAGUGACACCUGCAUCCAGCAUCUCUUUCUCAGACUUAUCCCACUUAGGCAUUCCCACCGCAUAGCCACCUGGCCCCAGCUUAUGGAACUUAUCCUUUUUGUGGCAUUGGCCUUGUUUAUUCUCGACCAUUCCUUAGAUAAUUCCGAAUCCUUGAAUUUCAUGAAAUCAUCCCAAUGAGCACUUUUCUUCUCUAGUGUUCCCUCGAAUACUGGAGUCUUCCUUCCUCCCUUGACGUACUUGGCCCAUUCACGAAUCUUGUGGUUUUUGAAUGCAACCGCCAUCUUCUAAGAGCAGCGUCCUUGAAUUUCUCCACAUCUGCAUCUAUGAAAUGAUCUGGUAGGGUGAAAUGUUCCAUGAGCAUUUCCCAAAGCAGAAGUUUUUGUCUGUCGUCGACAAAAGUAACUCCUGGACGUGGCUUUGCUGGCUCUCUCCAUUCAUGAACGGAGAUUGGGAGUUGGUCCUUCACAAGAACUCCGCACUGACGAAUGAACUUGUCCGCAAUCUUCUUAGGCGCUAAUGGUUCGCCAUUAGGUUUGAUGGCCUCGAUAUUGUACUUUACACCCUCCUUCAACUUUUUUUCGGGCCUCGUUUCCUGUUGCCUGAACAUUUGCUCGAUCCGGAUGGCUGAGAGAAGAAAGAUCGAUUCGUUAAUAUAUCUUCAAGUCAUUUAAAACAUGUGAUGAUCACCAGAUGCCUGCUUAUAUAAAUAUAUAUACCUCGCCGGUCUUUGUUGUUUCAAGAUCAACAUUUUCUUCGUCAUGUUCAUAGUUCAUGACUUCAUCAAUUCGGUCGUCGCGAUCGAAUAUCAUAUCACCCUCCCCGGUGUUGUUUAGAUAUUCGGAGCCGUCAUAAUCUUCUUCAUUCUGAUCAUCAUCUAGCCCGCAAGGAUUGCGUAUGAUAUUGAACAGGGCCUCUUCUCCCUCUCUGCUGGUAUUGUCUGCCAUAGGUUUUGUUUAACUAAUCCAAAAGAAAUAUAUUCAAAUUACAAUACAUGGAUGCAAUCAAUUAAUAAGGAAAAACUGAAUCAAUCAUAGUACAUAAUAAGCAUCAUCGAAUAUAAUCUCAAAUACGUCGUCUCGAAUAAUAGAUAUAAUCUAGAAUACAUCAUCUCAAUAAUAGAUAUAAUCUCGAAUACAUUGUCUCGAAUAAUAGAUAUAAUAUCGAAUACAUCACUAGCUAGCUAGCAAGCAAGCUAAUAAAGAUCGAAUACUAUAGAGUAAUCUAGGCCACUCGCGGUUCCUGAGGUGCGGGCGGUGGACACCCAAAGAGAAGGAACCAUCACUAGAUCAUAGCUCGGGUGAUCUCCCAAAAGAACCUGCAAGGUAUUGGAGAACCUGACAUCCAUAGCAGCCAUGUAGCGAUGGACGUGCUCGUCCUCCUCCCUGACACGGCGACGUACCACCUCCGGCGGGACCGGCUCCCUCCGCACCGAAAGUGGCCCACGCGAACGCCACCAAAGGAGAUGAGGGUCGACGAUGGGACCCGGGGCCGGGCUCCUCACCAAGCGCCGCGCCCCUGAAGGUAGCACCUACCAGUGCUAGCCCGGCGGAGCCCAGUCCCGGACAUGGGUCCUCUGAAGCAGGCCGUCGUCGCGAACGGGUCGACGGCGAGGAUGCGGGCCGGGCAUCGUCGACAACAAAUACUAUAUGCCGCAAAAGUAAAGUAACAUUUUUUAAAUGAUGGAUUGUGAUUUCAUAUAUGCAAAUUCUAAAUUUUAUAACUAAAACUAACAUUUCUAAUAUUUCUAUAACUAGAACUAACAUUUCUAAUAUUUCUAUAACUAAAAAACAUUUCUAUAUAACUAACAUUUCUAUAUAACUAACAUUUCUAAUAUAACUAACAUUUCUAUAUAACUAACAUUUCUAAUAUUUCUAUAUAACUAACAUUUCUAUAACUAAAACUAACAUUUCUAAUAAUUCUAUAACUAAAAAACAGAAAGAUUGCUAACAAUUCUAUAACAAUGUGUGUGUGUGUGUGUGGUUGGUGGCCGGGCCAGGAACUCACCGGCGAGGCGCGACGACGGUGGGCGGCGAUGGGGUCGGGGACGGAAACGGAGACGGAGACGGGGCGGAGACGACGGGGACGGGGCGGCGACGACGGGGAUGGGCCGGGCAGGGACGAUGGGAGGACGGGCCGGGCGGGGACGACAGGAGGACGUGGCGGGGCGCAGCGCGGCGACGGGGACGGGGACGGCGACGGGGGCGGCGACGAGGGGUGGUGGCGAUGGGGCAGAGGAGAAAGAAGUAGGAAGAGAUGGGAAACCUACAAUUUUUUUUGAAGUGUUUUCUUAUAUACAACCCACCUUUAGUACCGGUUGGAGCCACCAAGCGGUACUAAAGGUCUGUUUUGGCCAGGCGAAGCGGCGGGAACCGCACCCCCUUUAGUACCGGAUCGUGGCACCAACCGGUACUAAAGCCCCCCCCCCUUUAGUACCGGUUGGAGCCACGACCCGGUACUAAAGAGUGUGCGCUGCCAGGCGAGGGGUGCAAAAGUUUAGUCCCACCUCGCUAGCCGAGGGGCACUCGCACCUGCUUAUAAGCCCCGCCGUCGCUGCUAUCUCGAGCUCCUCUCUUAAGCAGGCCUUCUGGGCCUACCUCUUCUGCGAUGCCCUGUUGGGCCUACUAGCUAGCGGGCCUGCAUCCUGGCCCAACUAGAAUUUGGGUUUCUAGUCGUAUGCAGGCCGCUGUGGCCCAGUAGGUGGGCUUUUUUCUUAUUUUUUGCUUUAUUUAUUUUUGUUUUAUUUAUUUUAGAGUUGUUUUUUGCUGUAUUUAGAGUUUCUUUGUGAAUAUUUUUGCUUUAGGUACAAAAAAUUACAAACUUUAUGUUAGUACCGGUAGUUUACAAAUUUGAAUAGUUUAAAUUUUGAAUUAUUUGAAAUUUGUGUGAAUCACUAGUUUGUGAAUAACUUAACUUUGAAAAUAGAUUUUUUAGUGAUUCUUUUUUGUUAUGUUUAAUAUUAGUGUGUUUUAUCAUUAUAUUCAAUUUGGUAAUGCUUAGGUUAUUUAAAAAAUGAAAUGCCUUUGUAACGGAUGAGUUUUCGUCCGAAACCCUGAUACUUCGAAAGAGAUUGUCCAUUUUGUACACGGAAUGCAUCCAGUUUUUGCGGUAACCCUCUCUACUUUUUUGCACAUGCUAUGUGGGUGAAAUUAUGGUACCAUGCCAACUUUCAACCUUUUCUGAGUUCAUUUGAAAUGCUUUUCAAUUUCAGGGUCAUUUAGCUGAAAAAAUCAGGAAAUGCAUGAAAGAAUUUGCUUGCACAUAAAAUUUCUUCGCGUUUCAAAUGCCAAAACACAUAACUAGCUACCCUAACUAUUACAGAGAUUCCCUCCUGGGUGUGAAACACAGAAGAAAGUGAUGAUAGUGAAGUCGAUCACAUCCCAGAUCAUUGGGUAUGAAACUUUUUCUUCGCGUGUGUCCCUUUGCGCCGUAGCCAUGGAAAAUCUUCAUCAUUUAACUGGAUGCUCGGGUCAAUAUUCACUGUGAAUGGAGCAAUUUCAUCAAGCUUUUCAUAAUCUUCUGACAUGUCUGUCUUGUCAUCCACUCCCACGAUGUUUCUCUUCCCAGAAAGAACUAGGUGCCGCUUUGGCUCAUCGUACGAUGCAUUCGCUUCCUUAUCUUUUCUUUUUCUUGGCUUGGUAGACAUGUCCUUCACAUAGAAAACCUGUGCCACAUCAUUGGCUAGGACGAAUGGUUCGUCUGCAUAUGCAAGAUUGUUGAGAUCCACUAUUGUCAUUCCGUACUGCGGGUCUUCCGUUACCCCGCCUCGUGUCAUAUUGACCCAUUUGCACCGAAACAAAGGGACCUUAAAACCACGUCGAUAGUCAAGUUCUCAUAUGUCCUGUAUAUAACCAUAAGAUGUUUCCUUUCCUGUCUUGGUUUCUGCAUCAAAGUGGACACCACUAUUUUGGUUGGUGCUCUUCUUAUCUUGGGCGAUCGUGUAAAAUGUAUUACCAUUUAUCUCGUACCCUUUGAAAGUCAUUAUAUUCAAAGAUGGUAACUGGGACAGCAAGUACAGGUCAUCUUCAAUAGAGGCAUCAUGCAUGGUACAUGUCUGCAACCAGCUGGCGAAACUCCUGGUUUGUUCACGUGUAAUCCAGUCAUCAGACCGCUCCGGGUGUUUGGAGCGUAGCAAAUUCUUGUGUUCAUCCAUAUACAGAGCCACCAAGGCAGAAUUCUGUAGAACUGUGUAGUGUGCUUCAGUGAGAGAAUGUCCGUUCAUAGAUAUUAUUUGUUCCCCUCCUAGCGUGUCUUUUCCAUCCAGUCUGCCCUUAUGCCGCGAUUCAGGAAUACCAAUCGGCUUAAGGUCAGGAAUAAAGUCAAUACAAAAAUCAAUGACCUCCUCAUUUUCAUGGCCCUUGGAGAUGCUUCCUUCUAGCCUAGCACGGUUAUGAACAUAUUUCUUUAAAACUCCCAUGAACCUCUCAAAGGGGAACAUAUUGUGUAGAAAUACAGGACCCAAAACGUUAAUCUCUUCACAUAGGUGAACUAGGACGUGCGUCAUGAUGUUGAAGAAGGAUGGUGGGAACACCAACUCGAAACUGAAAAGACAUUGCACCAAAUCAUUCUCAAACCUUGGUAUGAUUUUUGGAUCGAUUACCUUCUGAGAGAUUGCAUUGAGGAAUGCACAUAGCUUCACAAUGGCUAAUCGAACAUUUUCUGGUAGAAGCCCCCUCAAUGCAACCAGAAGCAGUUGCGUCAUAAUCACGUGGCAGUCAUGAGACUUUAGGUUCUGGAACUUUUUCUCUGCCAUGUUUAUUAUUCCCUUUAUAUUCGACGAGAAGCCAGAUGGUACCUUAAUACUGAGCAGGCAUUCAAAGAAGAUUUCCUUCUCUUCUUUGGUAAGAGCAUAGCUUGCAUGACCCUGAUGUAUGCCGUCUUUUCCGUGCAUACGUUGAUGGUCCUCCCGUGCCUCAGGUGUAUCUUUUGUCUUCCCAUACACGCCCAAGAAGCCAAGCAGGGUCACACAAAGAUUCUUCGUCAUGUGCAUCACGUCGAUUGCGGAGCGGACCUCUAGGUCUUUCCAAUAGGGCAGGUCCCAAAAUAUAGAUUUCUUCUUCCACAUGGGUGCGCGUCCGUCAGCGUCAUUCGGAACAGGUUGUCCAACAGGACCCUUUCCAAAGACCACCUUCAAAUCCUUGACCAUAUCAUGUACAUCAGCACCAGUACGGUGGCGAGGCUUUGUCCGGUGAUCGGCCUCACCUUUGAAAUGCUUGCCUUUCUUUCUUACCGGAUGCCUGCUCUUAAGAAAUCGACGAUGUCCCAGGUACACAUUCUUCUUACAAUUAGCCAAAUAUAUACUGUCGGUAUCAUCCAAAUAGUGCGUGCAUGCGCGGUAUCCCUUGUUUGUCUGUCCUGAAAGGUUACUGAGAGCAGGCCAAUCAUUGAUGGUCAUGAACAGCAACUCCUUUAGGUCAAAUUCUUCCCCCAGGUGCUCAUCCCAUGCACGUACACCUGUUCCAAUCCACAGUUGUAAGAGUUCUUCAACUAAUGGCCUUAGGUACACAUCAAUGUCAUUGUCGGGUUGCUUAGGGCCUUGGAUGAGCACUGGCAUCAUAAUGAACUUCCGCUUCAUGCACAACCAAGGAGGAAGGUUAUACAAACAUAGAGUCACAGGCCAGGUGCUAUGGUUGCUGCUCUGCUCCCCAAAAGGAUUAAUGCCAUCUGCGCUUAGACCAAACCAUACGUCCCUUGCGUCAUCUGCAAACUCCUUCCCAUACUUUCUUUCAAUUUUUCUCCACUGCGACCCGUCAGCGGGUACUCUCAACUUUCCGUCUUUCUUACGGUCUUCUCUGUGCCAUCGCAUCGCCUUGGCAUGCUCUUUGUUUUGGAACAAACUUUUCAACCGUGGUAUUAUAGGAGCAUACCACAUCACCUUGGCAGGAAUCUUCUUCCUGGGGCGCUCGCCCUCGACAUCACCAGGGUCAUCGCAGCUGAUCUUAUAGCGCAAUGCACCGCAUACUGGGCAAGCGUUCAAAUCCUUGUACUCAUCGCGGUACAGGAUGCAAUCAUUAGGGCAUGUAUGUAUCUUCUGCACCUCUAACCCUAGAGUGCAGACAGCCUUCUUUGCUUCGUACGUACUCUCGGGCAAUUCGUUGUCCUUUGGAAGCAUAUUCUUUAUCAUUACCAGCAACUUUCCAAAUCCCUUGUCAGAUACACCAUUCUCUGCCUUCCAUUGUAGCAAUUCCAGUGUGGUGCCCAGCUUUUUCUUGUCACCUACGCAAUUCGGGUACAACAUUUUUUUGUGAUCCUCUAACAUGCGCUGCAACUUCUUCUUCUCCAAAUCACUUGUGCAGUUUCUCUUUGCAUCGGCAAUGGCCCGACCUAGAUCAUCAACGGGCUCAUCUGAUGCCUCUUCUUCAGCUUCUUCCCGCAUUGCCGGCUCAGCUUCUUCCCGCAUUACCGGCUCAGCUUCUUCCCUCAUUGUUGUAUCAUCGUAUUCAGGGAACCCAUGGCCAGGAUAGCUGUCGUCGUCCUCUUCUUCUUCAUUGUCUUCCAUCAUAACCCCUCUUUCUCCAUGCUUGGUCCAAACAUUAUAGUAGGGCAUGAAACCGGACUCAAACAGGUGGACGUGAAUGGUUCUUGACGUAGAGUAAUUGUGACCAUUCUUACAGCCAGCACAUGGACAAGGCAUAAAACCAUCCGCCCGCUUGUUUGCCUCAACCGCAAGAAGAAAAGUACGCAUGCCAUUAAUGAACUCGGGAGAGCAUUGGUCAUCGUACAUCCAUUGUCGGCUCAUCUUCAAUACAGAGCACCGAAAACACCAAAUUAAUACAAUACAUAAAGUUCAUACAUAAAGAUCAUACAACACUUAAAUGCAACUAACAAAUAACUCUCUAUCUAAAGAAUUUAAAUGCAACAACAAAUGCGAUCAAGAUCGCAACUAAGGUAACAAUUGAUCCAACAGCAUAAUGAUACCAAGCCUCACUAUGAAUGGCAUAUUUUCUAAUCUUUCUAAUCUUCAAGCGCAUUUUCUCCAUCUUAAUCUUGUGAUCAUCGACGACAUCGGCAACAUGCAACUCCAAUUCCAUCUUCUCCCCCUCAAUUCUUUUCAAUUUUUCCUUCAAAUCCUCGUUUUCUGUUUCAACUAAAUUUAACCUCUCGACAAUAGGGUCGGUUGGAAUUUCCGGUUCAACUACCUCCUACAUACAAAUAUCUAUGUCAACUUGAUGGGCAUAAUUUGUCAUAAACACGAAAUGCAAUGAAUAGUUUUAAAGAGAAUAUACCACAUCCGGAUCAUAACUCGGACGAGGGCCGAUGGGGACGGAUAUCAAAACCAUGGCACUAUGUAUAACAAACAACAUAUGGGUAAUAUAAUUAUACGAGUAACUAUAUAUCCAAAUCACACAAACAUCAAUUUUUUAUAUAAAACUUCAUGAACAAGAGGCUCACCACAAGGUGGUGCCGGCAACGGGACAUUGCGAGCGAUCGAUGGUGCUUACGACAGAGAUUUAGAAGGUACUAAGUAAACCACACCUACAUAUGCAAACUAAGUGUUAUUUUUGACCUCAAAUUGCAUAUAAAUCAAAUACUAGCACAUAUAUAUAAUUCCUCCCAAAUUACUAAACUCAAAAAUCAAUCACUAUAUAAAGCAUUGCACGAGCUAAUCUAGCAAUGAGAGAUGAAAGGACAAAGUUGCUAACCUUUGUGGUCAUUUGAAUGGAUGGGGGCCUUCAAAUCUUGACAAAUUUUGGGCAAAAUGUGUGAUGAGCUUGAGAGGAAGAGGGAAAAGAACAGAGAGGAGAGGGGAAAGGGGAAGAACAGAGCGAGCUCGGGUGGACGAAGGGUCUAUGUAGGACGACCUUUAGUACCGGUUCGUGAUAUGACCUGGUACUAAAGGUGCUGGAGGGGCCCCGGACUGACAACAUCCUGCCACCACUCACUUUAGUACCGGUUCGUGGCACGAACCGGUGCUAAAGGUUUGCCACGAACCGGUACUAAUGAGAGCGGCCGGCUAGCCAUUGGAACCGGCACUAAUGCACACAUUAGUGCCGGCUCAAAUUCAAACCGGCACUAAUGUGCUUCAUGUUUGACCCUUUUUCAACUGGUGGACAUAGCACUAUAGGUGGAAUAGAAUGGUGGUUGUGGAGAAGACAAAAAGGAGAAGAUAGUCUCACAUCAACUAGGCGUAUCAACGGGCUAUGGAGAUGCCCAUCAAUAUAUAUCAAUGUGAGUGAGUAGGGAUUGCCAUGCAACAGAUGCACUAGAGCUAUAAGUGUAUGAAAGCUCAACAAAAGAAAUUAAGUGGGUGUGCAUCCAACUCGCUUGCUCAUGAAGACCUAGGGCAUUUUGAGGAAGUCCAUCAUUGUAAUAUACAAGCCAAGUUCUAUAAUGAAAAAUUCCCACUAGUAUAUGAAAGUGACAAAAUAGGAGACUCUCUAUCAUGAAGAUCAUGGUGCUACUUUGAAGAACAAGUGUGGAAAAAGGAUAGUAGCAUUGCCCCUUCUCUCUUUUUCUCUCAUUUUUUUAUUUGGGACUUUUUAUCCUUUUUAUGGUCUCUUUUUUCGUCCAGAAUCUCAUCCCGACUUGUGAGGGAAUCAUAGUCUCCAUCAUCCUUUCCUCACAUGGGACAAUGCUCUAAUAAUGAAUAUCAUCACACUUUUAUUUACUUACAACUCAAGAAUUACAACUCGAUACUUAGAACAAAAUAUCACUCUAUGUGAAUGCCUCCGGCGAUGUACCAGUAUGUGCAAUGAAUCAAGAGUGACAUGUCUAAAAUUAUGAACGGUGGCUUUGCCACAAAUAUGAUGUCAACUACAUGAUCAUGCAAAGCAAUAUGACAAUGAUGAAGCGUGUCAUAAUAAAUGGAACGGUGGAAAGUUUCAUGGCAAUAUAUCUCAUAAUGGCUAUGGAAAUGCCAUAAUAGGUAGGUAUGCUGGCUGUUUUGAGGAAGGUAUAUGGUGGGUUUAUGGUACCGGCGAAAGUUGUGUGGUACUAGAGAGGCUAGCAAUGGUGGAGGGGUGAGAGUGCAUAUAAUCCAUGGACUCAACAUUAGUCAUAAAGAACCCACAUACUUAUUGCAAAAAUCUAUUAGUUAUCGAAACAAAGUACUACGUGCAUGCUCCUAUGGGGUAUAGAUUGGUAGGAAAAGAACAUCGCUCGUCCCUGACCACCACUCAUAAGGAAGACAAUCAAUAAAUAAAGCAUAUCUCUCAAAUUCACAACUACUCAACUAGCAUGACUUUAAUAUUACCAUCUUCAUAUCUCAAAACAAUCAUCAAGUAUCAAACUUCUCAUAGUAUUCAAUGAACUUUAUAUGAAAGUUUUUAUUAUACCCAUCUUAGAUGCCUAUCAUAUUAGGACUAAUUUCAUAACCAAAGAAAAUUACCAUGCUGUUCUAAAGGACUCUCAAAAUAAUAUAAGUGAAGCAUGAGAGAUCAGUAAUUUCUAUAAAAUAAAACCACCAUCGUGCUCUAAAAAGAUAUAAGUGAAGCACUAGAGCAAAAUUAUCUAGCUCAAAAGAUAUAGGUGAAGCACAUAGAGUAUUCUAAUAAAUUCCAAUUCAUGUGUGUAUCUCCAAAAGGGUGUGUAAAGCAAGGAUGAUUGUGGUAAACUAAAAGGCAAAGACUCAAAUCAUAUAAGACGCUCCAAGCAAAACACAUAUCAUGUGAUGAAUAAAAAUAUAGCCUCAAGUAAAGUUACCGAUAGACGAAGACGAAAGAGGGGAUGCCUUCCGGGGCAUCCCCAAUAUUAGGCUUUUGGUUGUCCUUGAAUUUUAACUUGGGGUGCCUUGGGAAUCCCCAAGCUUAGGCUCUUGCCAGUCCUUAUUCCAAAAUCUAUCAAAUAAUUACCCAAAAACUUGAAAACUUCACAACACUAAACUCAACAGAAAAUCUCAUGAGCUCCAUUAGUAUAAGAAAGCAAACCACCACUUUAAGGUAAUGUAAUUAACUCAUUCUUUAUUUAUAUUGGUGUUAAACCUACUAUAUUCCAACUUCUCUAUGGUUCAUACCCCCAGAUACUAGCCAUAGAUUCAUCAAAAUAAGCAAACAACACACAAAAAACAGAAUCUGUCAAAAAUAGAACAGUCUGUAGAAAUCUGUAGGUUUAGAAUACUUCUGUAACACAAAAAAUCCUGAGAAAUUAGGUAAUACUAUAAAACUAAAUAAUUUUUAUAGUUAUCCACUGCAGUUGGAAUUGGUAUUUUAUCGCUCACUGGUAAAAAACGAAAAUUAUUCUCGUGAGUGCAUACUUUCUGUUUUUUCAGCAAGAUCAAACGACAAUCAUCCAAGAAGAUCCUCAAGGCUUUACUUGGAUCAAUCACUAAUUAAACCAUAAAAAACACAAUGAUAACAUAGGAUAUAUGAUUUAUUUAUUACUAAAUAGGAAAAAAAGCAAGGAACAAAAAUAAAAUUGCGUUGCCUCCCAACAAGCGCUAUCGUUUAACGCCCCUAGCUAGGCAUAAAAACAAGAAUAGAUCUAGGUAUUGUCAUCUUUGGUGUUGGGAAAGAAAAGAGAAAAAUUCUUAUCUAUAGCAUUUAUCUUUCAAUUUUAAGAAAGCACACGGCCAUUAAUGGUGGAAGAAAGAUUAAGCACGCUAUGAAAAUUUGCAUCUAAGCUAGCCUUCAUCUCUUUGAUAAUUUCAUUUUGAUAAAAGCACAAAAGAGAGCUGGGUUCAACCCUCUCACUCAUGGAGUGCUCAAAUAUAGUUUUCAUCUUUUCAUAGGUAUCUAUGGCAUCCCCCUCAAGAAAACCUUCUUCAAAAAUAGAAUCUAAAAUUUGCUUGAAUGAAGAGGGUGAGCCAACAUAAAAGCUUUUUAGGUAUAUCUCAAUUUGAUAUUGGGGCACAUAGCUAGCUCGGCUCCUUAAUAACCUAUCCCAAGCGUCCUUCAAAGACUCAUCAAGCAAAUAACGAAAAAUUCCAGGAUCAUCUUCAUCGAAAUUAUCCAAACUCUCAUUGAUAACCCCGGUAGGUCUUUCCAUAGCAUCAUUAUUUAUGAGGUUAGAAAGGAUACAGGGUCUAUCCAAAGUACUAGAACUUGGGAGAGAACCCUUACCUCUUUUCGAUUCGGCCAUGGUGAAAGAAAGGAAAACGGGAAAGAGGCGAAUAAAACGGCAAGGGUGAAGUGGGGGAGAGGAAAACGAGAGGCAAAUGGUGCGAGGGAUAAGAGUUUGUGAUGGGUACUUGGUAUGUAUUGGCUUGAGUGUACAUCUCCCCGGCAAUGGCGCCAGAAAUGGCUAGUUGAUGGGAGAUCAAAUCUUGACUUGACUUGGUGCAACUCUCCCUGGCAACGGCGCCAGAAAUCCUUAUUGCUACCUCUCGAGCAUGCAUUGGUUUUCCCUUGAAGAGGAAAGGGUGAUACAGCAAAGUAGCGUAAGUAUUUCCCUCAGUUUUUGAGAACCAAGGUAUCAAUCCAGUAGGAGACUACACGCAAGUCGCCUAGUACCUGCACAAACAAACAAGAAACUUGCAACCAACGCGAUAAAGGGGUUGUCAAUCCCUUAAAAACCACUUGAAAAAGUGAGAUAUGAUAAAGAUAAUAAGAUAAAUAUUUUUUGUAUUUUUUUGUAUAGAUUGAAAAGUAAAGAUUGCAAAAUAAAUAGUAAACUAGAAUUGUAGAUCGGAAACUUAUAUGAUGUAAAGUAGACCCGGGGGCCAUAGGUUUUACUAGUGGCUUCUCUCAAGAGAGCAUAUAUUACGGUGGGUGAACAAAUUACUGCCGAGCAAUUGAUAGAAAAGCGCAUAGUUAUGAUGAUAUCUAGGCAUGAUCAUGAACAUAGGCAUCACGUCUGUGUAAAGUAGACCGAAACGAUUCUGCAUCUACUACUAUUACUCCACACAUCGACCGCUAUCUAGCACGCAUCUAGAGUAUUAAGUUCAUAAGAACAGGGUAACGCAUUAGGCAAGAUGACAUGAUGUAGAGGGAUAAACUCAAGCAAUAUGAUAUAAACCCCAUCUUUUUAUCCUCGAUGGCAACAAUACAAUACGUGCCUUGAUGCCCCUGCUGUCACUGGGAAAGGACACCGCAAGAUUGAACCCAAAGCUAAGCACUUCUCCCAUUGCAAGAAAUAUCAAUCUAGUAGGCCAAACUAAAUGGAUAAUUUGAAGAGACCUGCAAAGAUAUCAAAUCAUGCAUAUAAGAAUUCAGAGAAGAAUCAAAUAUUGUUCAUAGAUAAUCUUAAUCAUAAACCCACAAUUCAUCAGAUCUCGACAAACACACCGCAAAAAGAAUUACAUCGAAUAGAUCUCCAAGAACAUCGAGGAGAACUUUGUAUUGAGAACUAAAGAGAGAGAAUAAGCCAUCUAGCUAAUAACUAUGGACCCGAAGGUCUGUGGUAAACUACUCACACAUCAUCGGAGAGGCUAUGGUGUUGAUGUAGAAGCCCUCCAUGAUGGAAUCCCCCUUCGGCAGAUCAGCGGAAAAGGUCCCCAUAUGGGAUCUCACGGGUACAAAAGGUUGCGGUGGUGGAAAAGUGGUUUUGUGUCUCCCCUAGAUGUUUCCAGGGUAUAAGAUUAUAUAUAGGUGAAGGAAGUAGGUCGGUGGAGCUAAGAGGGGCCCACGAGGGUGGGGGCGCGCCGCCCUACGUCGUGGCCCCCUCGUUGCUUCCUUGACCUCCACUCCAAGUCUUCUGGAUUGCGUUUGUUCCAAAAAAGAUCCUCCUGAAGGUUUCAUUCCGUUUGGAUCCCGUUUGAUAUUCCUUUUCUGUGAAACACUAAAAUAGGCAAAAAAAAUAGCAACUGGCACUGGGCCUCCGGUUAAUAGGUUAGUCCCAAAAAUAAUAUAAAACUACAUAUUAAAGCCCAUUAAACAUCCAAAACAGAUAAUAUAAUAGUAUGGAACAAUCAAAAAUUAUAGAUAUGUUGGAGACGUAUCACCGAACUUGGAGGAGGAGGAGUUGCCUGACGCGUUGGUGGGAUUGAAGGAGCAGGACUGUGCUGAGGCGGUGGUUGAUGAUCACUUGGAGGAGCGGGAGAUUGCUAACACGGUGGCGGACUUCGAGGAGGAGUCGGCUGACGCGGUGUCAGUGACCUUGGAAAGAUGAUGCAAUCCUUUCUCCAUAGGAUGAUACGAUGUUUGGCCUCUCCCAGUGUGUGCUCCUUGUCACCUCCAGGAAUAUCAAGCUCUAGCUCGGAAUAUGGGUCCACCAAUUCAUCAACCACGACACGAGCAUAGCCAGCUGGAAUCGGGUUGUAAUGGAAGGUUGCUUCGGGGGACUUUGUAUAAGCAAUGGCGUCUGCCACCUUCAUGGAUAUGUUCUUCAUUUUGAAGUGUAGCUCACAAUUAGUGCUCUCCAUGAUGUCAUCCACAGGGUAUCUAUCCAGCAGCUAUGCCUCACCCGGGGUGGAACCCACGCUGCUUCUCGGCACGGAUGGGACGGUGAUAUCCAAUGCUAGAUCAUCCGCUAGCUGCUGCCACUGCUGAGACCCCCUUUCUUGGCUAUGUGAGUCGAUUUGCUGCCUCUACCGCUGGAAUUGGAGUGCCAACUCUGCGUGCUUUGAUUCUAGGCCUUUAAGGCGUUCUGCUUCCUACUUCCACUGCUCCUCCUCUAGCUUCCUCUUCUUCUCCUCCUCCAUCUUCCUUCUCGCAUGGCUUUUGUAGUCGGCAUUCCAGUCCGCAAACCCCUCAUACCACGGAACAAUGCCUUUGCUUCGUGUUCUUCCUAGGUGUUCAGGAUUUCCCAGGGCACACGUAAGCUCGUCGUUCUCUCUAUUGGGCAUGAACACCCCUGUUCGGGCCUCUUCUAGUGCAACAAGUAACUCGUCCUCGGCUCCUGGGGGGCAUCUCAAUGUAACUGGAGUGACCGCUGCAUCCACCAUCUCUUGCUCAGACUUAUCCCACUUAGGCAUUGCCACCGCGUAGCCACCUGGCCCCAGUUUAUGGAACUGCUCCUUUUUUGCAGCAUUGGCCUUGUUUACUCUCGACCAUUCCUUAGAUAAUUCUGAUUCCUUGAAUUUGACGAAAUCGGGCUUGUGCUCUCUUUGCUUCUCUAGUGUUCCUGUGAAUUCUGAGUCUUCUUUCCUCCAUCGGCGUACUUGGCCCAUAUACUUUUCUUGUGGUUGUUGAAUGCAACUGCCAUCUUCCUAAGAGCACUGGCCCUCACUUUCUGCACAUCUGCAUCUGUGAAAUGAUCUGGUAGGGUGAAAUGUUCCAUGAGAGAUUCCCAAAGUAGAUCUUUUGCUCUGUCGUUGACCCAAGUAAGAUCUGGACGUUGCUUUGCUGGCUUUUUUCCAUUCUUGCAUGGAGAUCGGGAGUUGGUCCUUCACAAGAACUCCGCACUAACGAACGAACUUGUUCGCAUUCUUCUUAGGCAAGAUUUCUUCUCCAUCAGUUUUGAUGGCAUCGAUGUUGUACUUUACGCCCGGCUUCAACUUUUUGGCCGGGCCUCGCACUGUUCUGCUAGCUGAUUUGCUCGAUCUGGAGGGCUGAAAGAAGAAAGAUCGAUUGGUUAAUAUAUCUUCAAAUCAUUUAAAACAUGUGAUGAUCACCAGAUGCCUGCUUAUAUAUAUAUACCUUGCCGGACUCUGUUAUUUCAAGAUCAACAUUUUCUUCAUCAUCAUAAACAUAGUUCUGGACUUCAUCAAUUCGCUCGUACCGAUCGAAUAUCAUAUCACCCUCCCCGGUAUUGUUAAGAUAUUGGGAGUCGUCAUCUUCUUCAUUCCGAUCAUCUGGUCGGACAGGGGAGCGUAUAAUCUCGAAAAGGGACUCUUCUCCUUCUUUGUUGGUAUUGUCCGCCAUAGCUUUUAUUUAACUAAUCCAGAAGAAAUAUAAAACAAUUUAGUAUUCAAAUUACAGUGCAUACAUGCAAUCAAUAAGGAAAAACUGAAUCGUAGUAUAUAAUAUGCAUCAUCGAAUAUAAUCUCGAAUACAUCGUCUCGAAUAUUAUCGAAUAAUAUAUAUAUAUAUCUCGAAUACAUCGUCUCGAAUAAUAUAUAUAAUCUCGGAUACAUCAUCUCAAAUAUUAUAUAUCAAAUAAAUAGCUAGCUAAUAAAGAUCGAAUACUACAAAAUAAUCUAGUUCACUCGCGGUUUCUGAGGCGUGGGCGGCGGAGACCUAAAGAGAAGGAACCAUCACAGCAUCAUAGCUCGGGUGAGAUCCCUGAAGAACCUGCCAGGUAUUGGAGAACCUGACGUCCAUAGCAGCCAUGUAGUGACGGACGUGCUCUUCCUCCUCCCUGACACGGCGACGUACCACCUCCGGCGGGCCGGCUCCCUCUGCACUGAAAGUGGCCCACGCGAACGCCACCAAAGGAGCUCAGGGUCGAUGACGGGACCCAGGGCCGGGUUCCUCACCAAGCGGCGCCCCCUAAAGGUAGAACCUCCUAGUGCCAGCCCGGCAAAGCCCAGACCUGGACAUGGGUCCUUUGAAGCAGGACGUCGUCACGAACGGGUCGACAGCGAGGAUGCGGGCCGGGCAUCGUCGAGAACAAAUACUAUAUGCAAACGUAACAUUUUUUAAAUAAUUGGAUUGUGAUUUCUUAUAUACAAAUUUAAAAAAUGAUAUCGUCGUUGCAUGCAUAUGUCAAAAUUCUAUAUGCAAAUUCAUCGAACUAAAAGUAUCUAAUUAAUUAAUUCAUCUAAAACCUUUUACAUUAAUCUAAUCUAAUUAAUUAAUUCAUCUAAAACCUUUGCAUAAAAAAUAGAAAAACUAAAAAAACUAAAAACUAAAAACAGAAAAACAUCUAUAGCUAAGGCAUCUACAACAUCUAGUGCAAAAGAUGAACAAAUUUUUUGUGUGUGUGUGUAUGUGCGCGUCUGUGCACCUACGGCGGCGCGGCAGCUUUGAUUGGUGGGAGGACCGAGGGAAGAGGGGCUCACAUCGCGGGCGAGGUCGAGGCGACGGCAAUGGCGAGGUCCAGGCGACGGCGACGGCGAGGCGAGGGGAUGGCAAUGGGCCGGUGCGGCGACGGGGGCGGCGACGGGGAUGGGCCGAUGACGGGGGCGGAGCGGAGUCGACAGGGACAGGGGCGGCGACACCAACGGCACGCGACGAGGGCAGCGAUGGGGUCGAAGAAGCAGAGGAGAAGAAACUGAAAAUUUCGUAAGUGUUGUAUAUAUAGGGAUGACCUUUAGUACCAGUUGGAGCCACCAACCGGCACUAAAGGUCAAAUUUUGCCAGGACAAGCGGCGGGAACGGCACCCCUUUAGUACCGGGUGGUGGCUCCAACCGGUAGUACAGACACCCCCCCACCCUUUAGUACCGGUUGGAUCCACGACCCAGUACUAAAGUGAGUGCGCUGGCGCAGGUGCGGUGCGGCAAGUUUAGUCCCACCUCACUAGUCGAGGAGCCCCAAGACCUGUUUAUAAGCCCCGGCGCGGGCACUGCAUUGAGCUCCUCUCUAAUGCAGGCCUUCUGGGCCUAACUCUACUACUCUUCCCUGUGCGGCCUACUGGGCUUGGCGGCCUAUAUCCUGGCCCAACUACAGGUUGGAUUUCUAGUCGUAUGCAGGCCGCUCUGGCCCAGUAAGUGGGCUUUUUUUAUUUAGUUUUUUCUAUAUUCUUCUUUAUUUAAAUUCUUUUAUUUAUUUCUGAGUUGUUUUUUGCUGUAUUCAGAGUUUCUUUGUGAAUAUUUUUGCUUUAGGUACAAAAAAUUACAAACUUUCUGUUAGUCCCAGUAGUUUUCAAAUUUAAAUAGUUUAAAUUUGAAUUAUUUGAAAUUUUUGUGAAUAACUUAACUUUGAAAAUAGAUUUUUCAGUGAUUAUUUUUUCUUAUGUAUAAUAUUAGUGUGUUUUGUCAUUAUAUUAAAUUGGUAAUACUUAGGUUAUGUACAAAAUGAGAUGCCUUUGUAACAGAUGAGUUUUCGUCCGAAACCCUGAUACUUCAAAAGAGAUUGUCCAUUUUGUACACGAAGUGCAUCCAGUUUUUGCCGUAACCCUCUCUACUUUUUUGCACAUGCUAUGUGGGUGAAAUGGUGAUACCAUGCAAACUUUCAACCUUUUCAGAGUUCAUUUGUAGUGCUUUUCAAUUUCAGGGUCAUUUAGCUCAAAAAAUUCAGUAAAUGCAUGAAAAAUAGAAAAUUAUGUCAGAAAGGUACAUGUUUGUCCGAAGCACAUACAUGUUUAAAGUGUGAAAACACAUAAGAACCCUAACUAUUACAAACAUAUACAAGUCCGGAAACUCACUAGAGGAUAAAGUGAUGACAGUGAAGCCGAUCACAUCCCAGAGUGGGACCUUUCGGCCGUGUGAAACUUUUUAUUUGCGUGUCCCCUUUGCGCCGUAACCAUGGACAAUCUUCAUCAUUUAACUGGAUGCUCGGGUCAAUAUUCACUCUGCAUGGAGCAAUUUCAUCAAACUUUUCAUAAUCUUAUGAUAUGUCUGUCUUGUCAUCCACUCCCACGAUGUUUCUUUUCCCUGAAAGAACAAUGUGGCGCUUUGGCUCAUCGUAUGAUGUAUUCGCUUCCUUACCUUUUCUUUUUCUCGGCUUGGUAAAUAUGUCCUUCACAUAGAAAACCUGCGCCACAUCAUUGGCUAGGAUGAAUGGUUCGUCUGCGUACGCAAGAUUGUUGAGACCCACUAUUCUCAUUCCGUAUUGCAGGUCUUCCGUUACCCCGCCUCGUGUCAUAUUGACUCAUUUGCACCAAAACAAAGGGUGAAUAAAUUUCUUGUGAUCAUCUAACAUGCGUUGCAACUUCUUCUUCUCCUUGUCACUUGCGCAGUUUCUCUCUACAUCGGCAAUGGCCCGACUGAGGGAGUCCUGGAUUAGGGGGUCUCCGGACAGCCGGACUAUAUCCUUUGGCCGGACUAUUGGACUAUGAAGAUACGAGAUUGAAGACUUCGUCCCGUGUCCGGAUGGGACUCCACUUGGCGUGGAAGGCAAGCUAGGCAAUACGGAUAUGGAUAUCUCCUCCUUUGUAACUGACCUUGUGUAACCCUAGCCUCCUCCGGUGUCUAUAUAAACCAGAGGGCUUUAGUCCGUAGGACAACAUACAAUCAUACCAUAGGCUAGCUUCUAGGGUUUAGCCUCUCUGAUCUCGUGGUAGACCAACUCUUGUACUACUCAUAUUAUCAAGAAUAAUCAAGCGAGACGUAGGGUUUUACCUCCAUCAAGAGGGCCCGAACCUGGGUAAAACAUCGUGUCCCCUGCCUCCUGUUACCAUCCGCCUUAGACGCAUAGUUCGGGACCCCCUACCCGAGAUCCGCCGGUUUUAACACCGACAUUGGUGCUUUCAUUGACAGUUCCUCUGUGUCGUCACCGUUAGGCUUGAUGGCUCCUUUGAUCAUCGAUAGCGAUGCAGUCCAGGGUGAGACUUUUCUCCGCGGACAGAUCUUUGUAUUCGGCGGCUUCGCACUGCGGGCCAACUCGCUUGGCCAUCUGGAGCAGAUCGAUAGUUACGCCCCUGGCCACCAGGUCAGGUUUGGAAGCUUAAACUACACGGCCAACAUCCGUGGAGACUUGAUCUUGGAUGGAUUCGAGCCCCUGCCGAGUGCGCCGCACGGUCACGAUGAGCAUGAUUUAGCUCUACCAUCGGACAGUGUUCAGGAGACCGCACCGGCAACUGCUCCGACCCUCAAUUCGGAGCCAAUUGCGCGCAUCCGUGGACCGGUGGAUAGAUCCCGCCACAAAGGCCGUAUUCUUAGCGAUGAUCGAGUCGAGUAUCAACCUUACCCUUCACGGGAGCCGUGAUGCCAAACUACCGGAUUCUUCCCUGGCCACGGACUCCGAACCGCCUGCGCCCGUCCCUAUCGAAUCCGAUUGGGUGCCGAUCAUGGAGUUCACCUCCGCGGAUAUCUUUCAGCACUCGCCCUUCGGCGACAUACUGAACUCAUUAAGGUCUCUCUCCCUGUCAGGAGAGUCCUGGCCGAACUAUGUUCGGCAGGAUUGGGAUGCGGAUGACGAAGAAAUUCGCCGCCCACCCACCACCCACUUAGUAGCCACUGUCGACAAUUUGACCGACAUGCUCGACUUCGACUCCGAAGACAUCAACGGUAUGGACGACGAUGCGGGAGACGAAGAGGAACCACUGCCCACAGGGCACUGGAUAGCCACCUCAUCAGAUGAUAUAUACAUGGUGGACACACACACAAAGAAGGCAAUGGCGACGAGACAGCGGAGGAUGACCCCUCCAAGAAGCAACCCAAGCGCCGACGUCAGCGGCGCCGCUCUAAGUCUCGCCAAAGCAAAAGCGGUGACACCGGCACAGGAGAUAAUAGCACUCCGGACAGUGCUGAAGACGACAACAAUCCCCUGCAGCAAGAUUUAGAGCAGGAGGAUGGAGAAGCCAGCCCUCCCGAGAGAGCGGCAGAUGGAGAGGCGUAGGACGAUAAUUACAUGCCUCCCUCCGAAGACGAGGCAAGCCUCGACGAUGACGAAUUGUUCGGGCCGAAGGAUCCCGUCGAGCAAGAGCGCUUCAAGCGCCGGCUUAUAGCCAUGGCAAAUAGCCUUAAGAAAAAGCAGCAGCAGCUUCAAGCUGAUCAAGAUUUGCUAGCUGACAGAUUGACUGAAGUCCUUGCGGUCGAGGAAUAUGAACUCGUACGCCCCUCCAAGAGUUACCCAAAACGCAGGUUGCUACCCCGACUAGAGGAGGAAGCAUUAAAACCUACAUCUCCAGCAUAUGGUGCGGCUGAUCGGCCACCUAGUGGCCGCGAUAGAGAGGCACUUCAGCCAAAAAAUCAGCCUGCACCCCGACGCCACUCAAAUAAAAAUGACAAGGCACGGGGAAACACACUAGACCUACAAGACGUAUUGGAGGACAAAGCAAAACACGCAAGAUCGAUCUACGGAUCACGGGGGCGCGCCACUAUGCGAGACGAUAACCGUCACGCCGGAUACAGUAAAAGUAAAUCCGGCCGGGCCGAACACAACGGACAAGACUCAUUCGAGCUACGUCGCGACACAGCCCACUACAGAGGUCCCGCACACCCCAUAUGCUUCACAGAUGAAGUAAUGGAUCACCAAAUCCCAGAGGGUUUCAAACCUGUAAAUGUCGAAUCAUACGACGGCACAACAGAUCCUGCGGUAUGGAUCGAGGACUUCCUCCUGCACAUACACAUGGCCCGCGGUGACGAUCUACACGCCAUCAAAUACCUCCCACUCAAGCUCAAAGGACCAUCUCGGCAUUGGCUCAAUAGCCUGCCAGCAGAAUCCAUCGGCUAUUGGGAAGAUCUGGAAGCUGCAUUCCUCGACAACUUCCAGGGCACUUAUGUGCGACCACCAGAUGUCGAUGACUUGAGCCACAUAAUUCAGCAGCCAGAGGAAUCGGCCAGGCAAUUCUGGACACAUUUCCUGACAAAGAAAAAUCAAAUCGUCGACUGUCCGGAUGCAGAGGCCCUAGCAGCUUUUAAGCACAAUAUCCGCGAUGAGUGGCUCGCCCGGCACCUUGGCCAGGAAACGCUGAAAUCUAUGGCAGCCUUCAAGACACUCAUGACCCGCUUUUGCGCGGGAGAAGACAGCUGGAUGCCUCACAGCAAUAAUAUAUCAAAGAACCAUGGUACUUAGGAUACCAAGGAUGGCAAUGGUAGGUCACAUCGCAACAAACACAAGCGCCGCAUCAACAACGACAAUAUCGAGGAUACGGCAGUCAAUGCCGGAUUCAGAGGCUCUAAACCCGGUCAGCGGAAAAAGCCAUUCAAAAGAAGCACUCCCGGCCCGUCCAGUUUGGACCGAAUACUCGAUCGCUCGUGCCAAAUACAUGGCACCCCCAACAAGCCAGCUAACCACACCAACAGAGAAUGUUGGGUGUUCAAGCAGGCCGGCAAGUUAAAUGCCAAAAACAAAGAUAAGGGGUCACAUGGCAAUGACGAGGAGGAGCCCCGGCAGCCGAACACCGGAGGACAGAAGAGGUUCCCCCCACAAGUGCGGACGGUGAACAUGGUAUACGCACCCCACAUCCCCAAGAGAGAGCGGAAGCGUGCGUUAAGGGAUGUAUAUGCUUUGGAGCUAGUCGCCCCAAAGUUCAACCCAUGGUCCUCCUGUCCGAUCACCUUCGAUCGCAGGGACCAUCCCACUAGUAUCCGUCAUGGCAGAUUCGCCGCACUGGUCCUAGACCCAAUCAUCAACGGAUUUCACCUCACUCGAGUCCUUAUGGACGGCGGCAGCAGCCUGAACCUACUUUAUCAGGACACAGUGCGCAAAAUGGGUAUAGACCCUUCAAGGAUCAAACCCACAAAAACGACCUUCAAAGGCGUCAUACCACGUGUAGAGGCCCAUUGCACAGGCUCAGUCACACUGGAAGUAGUCUUUGGAUCCCUGGAUAACUUCCAGAGCGAAGAGUUAAUCUUCGAUAUAGUCCCAUUCCGCAGUGGCUAUCAUGCACUGCUCGGGCGAACCGCAUUCGCGAGAUUCAACGCGGUACCGCACUAUGCAUAUCUCAAGCUCAAGAUGCCAGGGCCUUGGGGUGUCAUCACAGUCAAUGGAAACAUAGAGCGCUCUCUUCGCACGGAGGAGCACACUGCGGCCCUCACAGCAGAAGCGCAAAGCAGCCUUUUAAGGCAAUCCACCAGUUCGGCGAUUAAAACCCGGACACCUUCAAGCGCGCCCGGAGUAAUCGGCAACAAGACCGCCUGGCACGUUCCGAGCUCACAUAGAAAUGUGGCCCCUACCCCAGUCCCAGCCAAACGGCGAAAUUCAUGCCAUGCGUACAUAAUUACGCAUUGAAAAUACCAUGGGCACAGGUGGGGAGGGGGACGACUACGGCACGCCCCAAGACGCGGCUCAACUACACUAGGGGCUUCCCGCUUUGUUAUUUUUUUCUUUCAGUAUGAUUGCCGAACACACGAUACAACAACCAAGGAGGCAGAAAGCUACGUCACAUCAAGGAAUUCUUAGGUGGUCUCUGAUAACGAGUGAAAUACCUGCUUUAAAUACCAUUCCUCAGCUUGCCCUUGGAGGGGACAUGUCAAAUAGUCCUACUUUUUGCUUAUCGCACUACUUGUAUCAUUCUGCUUCGAUGCACCUUUUUGAAUAAACAAUGCAUAGCACUAGACUAUUAUCACAUUCUUAUAUAUAUAUAUAUAUAUAUAUGUUCAUUCAUGACAUUCAGCAACCGUACACUCUGGUACGGCCAAUACGCCAGGGGCUUAAGCAUACCCCAUAAUACGGCGUGAGAAGUCCGAACACUUUCGAUAGUGCGGCACCCCGAACUUAUAGCAUUAUAUGCAUCAGCUCCGAAUCAUGUCUUGGGUCAAUAGUUGGGUUUGCCCGGCUCCUAUGUUUUGGUACCUUACGUUCCGCUAUGUCGGCUAAGGUAGCACUGGGAGAACUACUGCGAUUGUGCCCCGGUUCAUCUGGGCUAAGCACCUUAGUAGAGAAAGCUAAAACUGACUGUCAUGAUAAGGCGAGAGCUGGUCGUUGUUCGAGAGGUCUCGAGUCCUUAAAGACUUAUGCCGCUUAGAGCGAGGAGUCGGCUUUGUCCGUCUUAAGGCGUGUAUAGCGCCCCAAAUUCGGCCUUCCGAAUACUAGGGGCUUCGCCAAAAUUAAAAAUUGUAGACUUCUAUGGCUAAGUGAGAGUGAUAAAGCAUUAUAGUAUGAUUGCCUUGUUCGUUGUGUUGAGCUCCUCCCUCGAAGGACCCAACAAUCGGAAAAAGAGUGAUCAAGUUUAUCCCGAACACCCCAGCACUCGUGGCAUGGGGGCAGAAGCCGACGACUGGCCAUCUCUCAGAUUUGAUAAACAGCCGCACAGAAGGUAAUAAUUUAAUUUCAAACAAGCGUUGCAUAGCGCAUAUGAACAAGUUUUCAUAGUACAGGAUCACACGAGCAAGUUCAUUCAAAAAUUACAUACUUCGCAGACUCGUCCGCCACAAGACGGGCACCCUUCAGAACACCCUCAUAAUACAUUUCGGGGUGGCGAUGCUCCUUGCCCUACGGCGGCCCCUCCUUCACCAGCUUCUCGGCAUCCAUCUUGGCCCAGUGCACCUUCGCACGGGCAAAAGCCCGGCGUGCACCCUCGAUGCAGACGGACCACUUUAUGACUUCCAGCCUUCCACAAGCCGCCUCACCAGGCUGAAGUAGCUAUUGGGAAGGGAAUCGCCAGGCCACAUCCGGACUAUAAGGCCCCUCAUGGCCUGUUCGGCCGCCUUGUGCAGCUCGACCAGUUGCUUUAGCUGGUUGCUCAUAGGCAUCGGGUGUUCGAUCCCAGUAUACUGAGAGCAGAACAACUUCUCCGUCGAGCUUCCCUCCUCGGCCUGGUAAUAUUUCACGGCAUCCGACACGCUGCGGGGCCAAUCUGCGAAUGCUCCUGGAGAGCUCCGGACUCGGGUAAGUAACAAGUAAUUUACUUUCACAUGCUUGCUUUGCAUAUUGAAUGCCUUACCCGCCGCUAUCUUCCUCAUCGCCUCAAUCUCCUAGAGGGCCUUUUGGGCUUCAGCCUUGGCAUGCUUUGUGCUCUCGAGGGCCGCGGCAAGCUCGGCCUCUCGCAUCUUUGAAUCAAGCUCCAAAGCCUCGUGCUUCUUCACGAGAGCCUGGAGCUCUUGCUGCACCUCGCCCACCCGUGCCUCUUGUUUUUCCCGCUCGGUGCGCUCCUUGGCCGCUUUGUUUUCGGCCUCGGACAACGCUUGCUUCAGGGUCGCCACUUUGGUCGUGGCCCCUGGCACAUCCCUGAUGUUCCUACCAUUUUGCAACUACAUCUUAUAUAUAUAUAUAUAUAUAUAUAUAUAUAUAUAUAUAUAUAUACAUAAACACUAUUCUGAUCACGGGAUCAGAAUAGUUAUUCUGAUCACAACCUGACCUGCCCCGCUAGUAGUACGUUGAACUUCCCUGUGAACUAGGUUGAACUUCCGCCAACAUUACCCAAAUGGGGCUUGCGAUAUACCGUUGGAAAGCUAUGGACCCCAAUAUCAUGAUCCAACUUAAUGUUUUGGCAAAAUAUAAGCGGUUUAAGAGCAGUUUUGAAAACCGUUUUUUCUUCGCACAAAAAAUGUGAAUCGUAUUUUCGAUCGCAUUUCUAAACCGUUUAUUGGAAUGAGUCAUAUAAUAUGGCGUUGGAAAGCUGCUGUAAAACUGCUCCUUCCACAUGUUGAAAGUUUUCUCUAAUUCCCUAUGGUUAAAUAGUAAUUUGAAAAAACGUAAAAUUUCGUAAACCGAACAGCUGAGUUCGUUUUUUCCAUGUCAUUUCUAAACGGCUAAUCCAAUGGAGGCAUAUGAUACAGCGUUGGAAAUCUUGUGAAAAUGUGCUACUUUUUCAUCUUUAAAGUUUUUUUCUAAUUUUGAAUGGUUUAAGAGUAAUUUAGAAAAUGGUCCAAGUCCUACCGAGUUCGUAUUUUCAAGCUAAUUUUUUAACCGUGCGUCCGAAUGCAGCAAAUGAUAUGGCAUUGGAAAGCUUGAACAAAUGCGAAACUUUUUGGUAUGUAUUGUUUCUCUCAAUUCUUUACGAUUUUCAGUCAGUUUCGAAAAUGGCGAAAAAUGUAUUUUCACCGUAAUUUCUACAAACUUUAACGGAAAGGCGCAAAUAAUAUCCCAUUGAAAAGCUACACAAAAUGCGAAACUUUUUCAUGUUGAUUGUUUUCUCUGAUUCUUAGCCGUUUUCAAGUAAUUUCGAAAAUGGCAGGAUCAUUCGUUCUGCCUCUAUCGCGAAACAGAUUAUUCCAAAAUGCACCGCGUGAAGAACCUGAACUUCUCGGCGCGUGUACCUGAACUUCACUCUAUUUUUCACGUGAUUUUUUUGCUCGCAGGUCUCCAUCCACUUCUCGUAACUCUCCAUCCAUACACCGGAAUUGAGUAGGUGAUAUACCAAUGGAAAGCUGUUGUAAGCACGCAAGUUUCCCGUGUUGAUCGUUUUUUCGUACUCGCGAUGAUUUUUAAAGUUAUUCAUCUGAAAUUCAUUCAGUGCAGUAGUUAAACUUCCUGCUGUUUUCACGUUGAACUUCUAUGGCGUAUUUUCGUUUGUAAUUUUCUCAUCCAUUCAUCUGUGUUACAUAAAUGAUAUUCCUUUUAUAUAAACCUCUCUCACAAUAAUUUUUUUAAAUUUCUCCGACGAGGACUUGAACUUACACAAAUGAUAUUCCUGCCAUUUUGAAGUAAUUUAGAAAAUGACAAGAUCAUAAGUUUUGCCUUCAUCAUGAAUGGAAAUGCACUGUGUGAAGUAGUUGAACUUCUCGGGCACGUUUGUUUGAACUUCACUCUGUUUCUGACAUGAUGUUUUUUGCAUGUAACUUCCAAAUCACUUACCGGAAUUGAGCAAAUGAUAUACCGAUGGAAAGCUUUUGCAAACACACAACUUUUUCGUGUUGUUCAAUUUUUCAUACUCGCGACCUUUCAAAAUAUAUUUUUUUAAUGCGUAAAAAUGUGUUUUUCACGGUAUACAUAAAACUUUUAAACCAUUCAUCGAAAUAUAGCAUAUAAUAUACCAUUGGAAAGCUUAUGAAUAGGAGCAUCUCUUUCAUGUAGACACACGUUACAAAUUUUUAUCGUUUGAGAGCAGUUUUAAAAAUGGCAAAAACAACAUCAUUUUUUCUGUUUUUUAUACAUAAUUGAAGGUCAGACGUCUCGCGCUAGAGAUCUUGAACUUCAUCAGGAGGAGCACUUGAACUUCUUGCAACAAACCAUUUUUAACCUUUUUCUUUUAUAUUUCUUAUAUUACUAUCUGAAAUGCAUUCCUUGCAGUAUUGAACUUCUCGUUGUUUUCACCUUGAACUUCUGUCACUUUUUUUGUUUAACCUCUCUCGCAAGAAUUUUUGAACUUUCUCGGGCCGAGCACUUAGUAACAAAACUUUCGGCCCUUUGCUUUUUGAUUCUUUUUUUUGCAUACCAAUGCACACCGUGUAGUACGUGAACUUCUGGUAGUUAUCAAACCGCACUUCUCUCGGUUACGUGAAAAUAUCUGAGUUUUUUAUAGAUAGUGAACUGAUCUACCUUUUUUACUUCUAGGUUUUUUUAGAAACAAGAAAAUUUGGUUCAAAAAAUUAAACUACAAUAUUUGUUUAAUAUAUAUAUAUCUUGAUUUUCUAAUAAAUAUUGAACUUCUUCUUAUUAUAAUUUGAACUUCUAGGUUUUUUUGUAGAAAUGAGUAAAAUCCAUUUCUCUAUAUUUUUUGAAGUGCUCUAUUUAUUCAAGUUGAACUUCUUGGUUUAUUCAUUGGUAACAAUGGAAAUCAUAGUUUUUUAAUAACAUUUGAGCUGCUCCAUCAUUUAAAUUUGACUCCUAGGUUUUUUUAGAAACGAGGAAAUUUUGUUUUCUUUUGUUAAAAAAUUGAACUAUUCCGUUAUUUCAUUUUGACCUUCUUGGGGUUUUUAGAAUUUGGAAAAAUAUAUCUUUGUUACAACAUCAAACACCUUUCUUAUUUUAAUUUUUGUUUAAAAAAUAUCAACAACACAUGGCUCACUACAUUUUUUUAUUUGCACUAAUUUUACUAUAUGUGAACUUGUCCUUAUUUUAUAUUUGAACUUCUCACAUGAAACUAAUAUUUUCAUUGUACAAACUAUGUGUUGCCAGCUACAUUGGCAAGACACAAAUGCAUAAUUUUGUGUAGAAAACAUUGGAUCCCAAAGCACUUUGUAUCUCUCAAAAGAAUGUGUCGUUAACUUUUUUUUCUCACACCAAAUGUCUCGAAAGUACAUAGACAGAAAUGACACAUUAACGAUUUCCACAAUUUAUAUGUCUCUCUCUCCAUGAAACACAAGCCUCGAUAGAAGCACACAAGAAGAAUUAGCACUUCAGAGCGGGGAUGCAUUUUGGAGAAGAAAACUCCUUUUUCCCAUUCAUUUUUUGAAGGACCCAUGAAACUGAAGCAACUUUUUUGCACCAAUAGAUACUACUGAACUUUAGACAAAAAGUCAUUUUGAAACAAUACAUGGUCAUAACAGCAGCAGGGAAGCGAGAUUUCUGCUACAGGAGCAAAUACGAAGCAGUAGCGAUCUGAUCAUUUGUGUUCAAACUUAGUUGGGUUCACAACAUAAACUUCAAAAAAAUCUACACAUCAUACACCACAGCACGCAAGCAACACACCCAGCGCUCACAAAAAUGCCAGGACGCACACACACACACACCAGUGCAUGAACAAACGCAUUCAGCACGCACCCUACGUCUUGCUCAGGGCGCACUCGGAGGGCGUUGGUGGACUGGCCGCGGAGGUCGUGAGAACGCAAGGCAGACGCGGCGGCGGACGGGACGCGGAGCUCAAGGCAGAUGGUGGUCGUGACGGCGCUCCAUCCAAAAACGAGAUCGCACACCACACAGCGCCUUGUAUCCAUCGACAAGAUGCUAAAAGCAAGUAGUGCAAGUGAUUAAGGACUCCGA